RNAcentral lists this ribosomal RNA (253 nucleotides) under uncultured bacterium. RNAcentral's name for it is "partial 16S ribosomal RNA". It matches the Rfam family "Bacterial small subunit ribosomal RNA", at positions 524 to 776 of the family's 1533-position model. The record is from RNAcentral.
UACGGGGGGGGCAAGCGUUGUUCGGAAUUACUGGGCGUAAAGGGCUCGUAGGUGGCCAACUAAGUCAGACGUGAAAUCCCUCGGCUUAACCGGGGAACUGCGUCUGAUACUGGAUGGCUUGAGUUUGGGAGAGGGACGCGGAAUUCCAGGUGUAGCGGUGAAAUGCGUAGAUAUCAGGAGGAACACCUGCGGUGUAGACGGCUUUCUGGACCAUUGCUGACGCUGAGACACGAAAGCGUGGGGAGCGAACAGG